CCCUUAGAUGUUCUGGGCCGCACGCGUGCUACACUGAGUGGAUCAGCGGGUCAGGUUGCGCGAAAGCGUUUCCUAAUCUUUAAAUCCGCUCGUGAUGGGGAUUGACGGUUGCAAUUUUCUGUCAUGAACGAGGAAUACCUUGUAAGCGCGGGUCAUCAUCCCGCGCUGAAUACGUCCCUGCCCUUUGUACACACCGCCCGUCGCUCCUACCGAUUGAGUGGUUCGGUGAAGAUCUCGGACUUCGAUAUUUAUUCUUUAUUGAGUUUAUAUUGUGGGAAGUUAUCUAAACCUCAUCAUUUAGAGGAAGGUGAAGUCGUAACA
RNAcentral lists this ribosomal RNA (321 nucleotides) under uncultured eukaryote. RNAcentral describes it as "partial 18S ribosomal RNA". It matches the Rfam family "Eukaryotic small subunit ribosomal RNA", at positions 1470 to 1796 of the family's 1831-position model. The record is from RNAcentral.